AUCCUACGGGAGGCAGCAGUGGGGAAUAUUGGGCAAUGGGCGCAAGCCUGACCCAGCAAUGCCGCGUGAAGGAAGAAGGCCCUCGGGUUGUAAACUUCUUUUAUCAGGGACGAAGGAUGUGACGGUACCUGAUGAAUAAGCUCCGGCUAACUACGUGCCAGCAGCCGCGGUAAUACGUAGGGAGCAAGCGUUAUCCGGAUUUACUGGGUGUAAAGGGCGUGCAGCCGGGAGUGCAAGUCAGAUGUGAAAUCCCGCGGCUCAACCGCGGAACUGCAUUUGAAACUGUGCUUCUUGAGUGCUGGAGG
RNAcentral lists this ribosomal RNA (305 nucleotides) under uncultured bacterium. RNAcentral describes it as "bacterial SSU rRNA". It matches the Rfam family "Bacterial small subunit ribosomal RNA", at positions 335 to 655 of the family's 1533-position model. The record is from RNAcentral.